UACAGAGGGUGCGAACGUUGUUCGGAAUCACUGGGCAUAAAGCGCACGUAGGCGGCACCGCAAGUGUGGGGUGAAAUCCCACGGCUUACCCGUGGAACUGCCUGGCAGACUGCGGUGCUAGAGGUUGGUAGGGGAGAGCGGAACUCUUGGUGGAGCGGUGAAAUGCGUAGAUAUCAAGAGGAACACCUGCGGCGAAGGCAGCUUGCUGGGCCGACACUGACGCUGAUGCGCGAAAGCCA
Molecule: ribosomal RNA, 239 nt
Filed under: uncultured bacterium
Lineage: Bacteria
Description: partial 16S ribosomal RNA
Rfam family: Bacterial small subunit ribosomal RNA
Source: RNAcentral